UCCAUCUUCUCUUGUACUCCCACCUCUACACUUGUGGUACCCAACUCGGGAUGAGUCAGGCGAGAUGAACGGGUUAAGGUGGUGAGUUUUGGGCGACACGAAACGAGUCAACUCAAUAAACUUGUUUUUUACCAGGUCAAAUAACUCAAUAUGGCGAUAACUCGAGGUGGGUCUCCGAGUCGCCACUGCUAUGAAUUUAUUAUUACCUGGUGAAGUGGCUGGAGUGAACGCGUGGAGUCCAGGUGGUGUGACUCGUUGAAUCGACACUGACUCAGUCGAAACCAGUCCAGUUUGGGGCAGAAUCACUUUGUACACACUGAUCCAGUCAUCUUCUUCGCUUUUUCU
This 345-nucleotide long non-coding RNA is filed under the name Citrus sinensis (sweet orange). Its description in RNAcentral is "long non-coding RNA (CSIN_LNC001464)". The record is from RNAcentral. Lineage: Eukaryota; Viridiplantae; Streptophyta; Magnoliopsida; Sapindales; Rutaceae.